This 66-nucleotide transfer RNA is filed under the name Xya japonica. RNAcentral describes it as "tRNA-Thr". It matches the Rfam family "tRNA". From Rfam's summary of the family: Transfer RNA (tRNA) molecules are approximately 80 nucleotides in length. Their secondary structure includes four short double-helical elements and three loops (D, anti-codon, and T loops). Lineage: Eukaryota; Metazoa; Arthropoda; Insecta; Orthoptera; Tridactylidae. The record is from RNAcentral.
GUUUAAGUAGUUUAUUAAAAACAUUGGUCUUGUAAGCCAAAGAAAAGAUAAUUUUUUUUUUAAACA